AACGAACGCUGGCGGCAGGCCUAACACAUGCAAGUCGAGCGGACCUUUCGGGGUCAGCGGCGGACGGGUGAGUAACGCGUGGGAAUAUGCCCUUCUCUACGGAAUAGUCCUGGGAAACUGGGGGUAAUACCGUAUACGCCCUUUGGGGGAAAGAUUUAUCGGGGAAGGAUUAGCCCGCGUUGGAUUAGGUAGUUGGUGAGGUAAUGGCCUACCAAGCCGACGAUCCAUAGCUGGUUUGAGAGGAUGAUCAGCCACACUGGGACUGAGACACGGCCCAGACUCCUACGGGAGGCAGCAGUGGGGAAUCUUAGACAAUGGGGGCAACCCUGAUCUAGCCAUGCCGCGUGAGUGAUGAAGGCCUUAGGGUUGUAAAGCUCUUUCAGCUGGGAAGAUAAUGACGGUACCAGCAGAAGAAGCCCCGGCUAACUCCGUG
Molecule: ribosomal RNA, 433 nt
Filed under: uncultured bacterium
Lineage: Bacteria
Description: partial 16S ribosomal RNA
Rfam family: Bacterial small subunit ribosomal RNA
Source: RNAcentral